This 401-nucleotide ribosomal RNA is filed under the name uncultured bacterium. RNAcentral describes it as "bacterial SSU rRNA". It matches the Rfam family "Bacterial small subunit ribosomal RNA", at positions 356 to 774 of the family's 1533-position model. The record is from RNAcentral.
GGGGAAUAUUGCACAAUGGGCGAAAGCCUGAUGCAGCAACGCCGCGUGAGUGAUGAAGGCCUUCGGGUUGUAAAGCUCUGUCUUCUGGGACGAUAAUGACGGUACCAGAGGAGGAAGCCACGGCUAACUACGUGCCAGCAGCCGCGGUAAUACGUAGGUGGCAAGCGUUGUCCGGAUUUACUGGGCGUAAAGGAUGCGUAGGCGGAUACUUAAGUCAGAUGUGAAAAUCCCGGGCGUAACUUGGGAACUGCAUUUGAAACUGGGUAUCUAGAGUGCGGGAGAGGAAAGUGGAAUUCCUAGUGUAGCGGUGAAAUGCGUAGAGAUUAGGAAGAACACCAGUGGCGAAGGCGACUUUCUGGACCGUAACUGACGCUGAGGCAUGAAAGCGUGGGGAGCAAACA